AGUGAACGCUGGCGGUAGGCCUAACACAUGCAAGUCGAACGGUAGCACAGUAAGAGCUUGCUCUUACGGGUGGCGAGUGGCGGACGGGUGAGGAAUACAUCGGAAUCUACUUUUUCGUGGGGGAUAACGUAGGGAAACUUACGCUAAUACCGCAUACGAACUCCGGGUGAAAGCAGGGGAUCUUCGGACCUUGCGCGAUUGAAUGAGCCGAUGUCGGAUUAGCUAGUUGGCGGGGUAAAGGCCCACCAAGGCGACGAUCCGUAGCUGGUCUGAGAGGAUGAUCAGCCACACUGGAACUGAGACACGAUCCAGACUCCUACGGGAGGCAGCAGUGGGGAAUAUUGGACAAUGGGCGCAAGCCUGAUCCAGCCAUACCGCGUGGGUGAAGAAGGCCUUCGGGUUGUAAAGCCCUUUUGUUGGGAAAGAAAAGCAGCAGGUUAAUACCCCGCUGUUCUGACGGUACCCAAAGAAUAAGCACCGGCUAACUUCGUG
Molecule: ribosomal RNA, 492 nt
Filed under: uncultured bacterium
Lineage: Bacteria
Description: partial 16S ribosomal RNA
Rfam family: Bacterial small subunit ribosomal RNA
Source: RNAcentral